Molecule: ribosomal RNA, 491 nt
Filed under: uncultured bacterium
Lineage: Bacteria
Description: bacterial SSU rRNA
Rfam family: Bacterial small subunit ribosomal RNA
Source: RNAcentral
AAUAAACGCUGGCGGCGUGCCUAACACAUGCAAGUCGAGCGAGAAAGCUCCUUCGGGAGUAAGUAAAGCGGCGAACGGGUGAGCAACACGUGAGAAUCUACCCUUUAGUGAAGAAUACCCUCGAGAAAUCGAGGCUAAUACUGCAUACGUCCCUUCGGGGAGAAAGAUGGCCUCUUUGCUAUCGCUAAAGGAUGAGCUUGCGUACUAUUAGCUAGUUGGCGGGGUAAAGGCCCACCAAGGCAAUGAUGGUUAACCGGCCUGAGAGGGUGUACGGUCACACUGGAACUUAGACACGGUCCAGACUCCUACGGGAGGCAGCAGUGAGGAAUCUUGCGCAAUGGGCGAAAGCCUGACGCAGCGACGCCGCGUGGAGGAUGACGGUUUUCGGAUUGUAAACUCCUGUUAAGCGGGAAGAAAGCCUUGUUUCUAAUACAAGCAAGGUAUGACGGUACCGCUAGAAAAAGCACCGGCUAACUUCGUGCCAGCAGCCG